GGUGACCUCGUGGCCACGGCGCUGGACAAAAUUAGGCAGGUGGAACCUGAGAAAGUGGCUGAGCUACCAGCCAAACAGGAUGGUGAAGUUAAGGAGCAUAUCAGUCACAUCGGCUGCUUUGUGCUCCUCGCCAUGCACAGGCCUUGCUCCAGGCCACUGAACUAAAGCUGUUCCCAAAGGGAAGGCUGGGCCCUAGGUGAGCUUGCCAGACCAGCAGAAAUGAAGCUGGGGAUAUUCCAGCCAAGCAAGACCCAGAGAUGCUCAGAGACAUUAAUGGCCACCAUCAAAGCAUCUUUAAACCUUCAGGCCAGCACCAAAGCAGCCGGCUGUCUGUGAUAAAUAUGCAAGCCACGCUUCAGUCGGGGAGAAAUAAAUAAGCUGUUGUACAGGGAGCAAGGGAGGUGGGGAGCUCCUGCCCAAAUCACUGCUCAGCAGAGGAGUUUCCCUGGAGACUGCUUCCUCAGAGCCUGCGCAGGGCCAGCACAGGGCCGGGAGGCAGCACCCAGAGCUGCUUGAUGUGGUCUGGGCAGGCACAGGGACACUUCUGGGCGAAGGAUGAGGCGGAGAAGCAGGAUUGGGGAUGCCAGUCAGGUGCUGUUGUUGAAUUUGGGGAAAGCAGAGAUGGAUUACUUGCCAGUGAAUUGUGCUGCAGAAAUGUGGAGACUCCUUGGCUGCCUCUCAGCAAGCCCCUGGAGGGAGGAGCAGAAUAUCCAAGUGUACGCUGGGCAGAGCAGGGGAAGGUGGGUCCAGCAGAGUGAAAUCAGCUUUUCAUCCUUCUCCACGCAUCAGCAGCUGGCAGCUACAUCUUCAGUGCCUUGUCAUGCUGACGGGUCUCCUGCAGGGAUUGCAUAGAUGUGUCCCUGGGGCUGCAGGACAUGCUGGGACUUCCAGAUGAACCUUUCCAGGCAGAAGCAGAGUGGUGUGCUCGCUGUGAUGAGGGAAGAGGCUGGGAGAAGCUCGCAUUUAAUAAAAAAGGCAUCAAGUAAGGGCUGCUGUGAAUUAGGCAGGUUGUGCUAAAUGGUAUUGGCAGUGCAAGUUGCCUUUUAAAUGUGUAUAAUUCAUGUGCACAUACACACACGGUCUGCAGUCGCUGUCUUGCUGCCUGCAAGAAUUGAGGACAAAUACCAGGAAUAUUAAAUGAUGGUGAUGAGCAAGUGACAUUCUAUCAGCUAGAGAGCAAUUAAAUAUUUUAGCCUACUCAAACAAAGGUUUUGCUGGGCAGAGGAGAUGAGAGGUGGUUUCUCCCUCAUCAAUGUGCAUAAAUAUCUAAAGGGAGGAGCCAAGCACAUGGAGCAGGGCUCUUCUCGGUGGUGCUGAGCAAUAGGACACAUGCAAUAGGCAAAAAUUGAUGCACAGGAAAUUCCACCUGGAUAUAAGGAAGAACUUCUUUACUGUGCAGUGACCCACACUGGAACAGAGAGUAGAGAGGCUGCGGGGUCUCCCUCACUGGAGAUACUCAAGAACCGUCUGGGUGCAAUCAAUCCUGUGCCAUGUGCUCUGGGACAGCCCUGUUUUUACAGAGAGGUGGGACCAGCUGGCCCAACCCGGCCGUUUCUGUGGUUCCGUGAUUCCCCAGGACACGCACCGCGUCCCUUUCUGCACUUUCCAACCACGUUAUCCGGUUAUCCCCAGGCGUGGGUGACCGAGAGCAUCCCUACCCCUCGGCUCCUGGCUGAUGCCGCCGGGGGCUCGGGGGCUCCACCGGUGCGUUCGCUCCCGUACUCCCCGAGCCGGCAGCGGUCCCAUGGCCCCAACCCGGCCUCUCCGAGCAGGGCAGCGAGGCCGGGCUGUCGGGAAGGGGCCGGAGCCCUUUAAACCCCCCGGUUCCCUCCCCGCCAGCCCAGCCCAGCCCAGCCCGGCCCAGCCCAGCCGGGCGUUGCAUCAGGCCCGUGCGCGCCGCCGGCCGCCCCGCGG
Molecule: long non-coding RNA, 1914 nt
Filed under: Taeniopygia guttata (zebra finch)
Lineage: Eukaryota; Metazoa; Chordata; Aves; Passeriformes; Estrildidae
Description: lncRNA (ENSTGUG00000020474.1)
Source: RNAcentral